RNAcentral lists this long non-coding RNA (546 nucleotides) under Gossypium raimondii (Peruvian cotton). RNAcentral's name for it is "long non-coding RNA (GRAI_LNC010605)". Lineage: Eukaryota; Viridiplantae; Streptophyta; Magnoliopsida; Malvales; Malvaceae. The record is from RNAcentral.
AAUGAGUAAAUAAGGUCUUCAGAACUUUAGACCAAGGAGGAAUGGCAUUUUGUCCGAGAAGGGUGGAUCCGAGUACUUUCCGGUGAGUAUUUGUGAUGAAACAUACUGAUUUGCAGCUUCCGAAUAAUGAAUUCCGUCCCAGUUAACAUAUUCUGAACUGUCACUGCAUGCUUUGGCUGUCAUUGUGGUUCCAUUCAAGACUUCUGUUUUCCCGCAACCGAUCCGGCUGUCGUAAUUCAACGGUGGACCUCCAUAUCCGCAGCAAACCAUUAUUGGCUGCUCAAAUCCUGCAAAACAGUAAGAACUCCAACUCAUUUUGAUUCCAUACUUUUACUUCUCAUCUACCUUUGUCACAUUGAAAAUGAAUUCGGAACUCUCCAAAGUCCAAAGUACUGAAUCGUACAUACCGAAUUUGGAAUAAUUUGCUAUAAGGUUCCAUUUUAUCGUGUAGAUGUCAACAUAUGUGAAGUUCGAGCCCGCAUACUGGCCCUGCAAUUUUUUACAGAGGGUAUGAAGUUGCAGAUUGAAGACUUUAGCAGCUUGGUU